Molecule: unclassified non-coding RNA, 277 nt
Filed under: Hevea brasiliensis (rubber tree)
Lineage: Eukaryota; Viridiplantae; Streptophyta; Magnoliopsida; Malpighiales; Euphorbiaceae
Source: RNAcentral
GUCUUCUCAAAUGUCAAUAGAUCUUCAAACGUGAUAUAGUUCUGUAAAGAAUUCAAAUAACUAUCAUUCCAUUUGUCCAUCUUCUGUUUUGAAGGGGGUGGUUAUAGUAGUGAAUUUUCCGAGGAGGUUGAUUAAUUGCAAUGGAAUGCAUUGUUUAAUGUUUCAAUAUAUUUUUUUGUUGUUCUGUUUUCUGUGUCAUGGAGGUAUUCGAUAUUCAAAAUAGUUUGUCUAGACUGUGGAGUAUUGUUUUUGUUGAUUUUCUCUGUGUGUGUUUUAA